This 2906-nucleotide ribosomal RNA is filed under the name Escherichia coli. RNAcentral describes it as "23S ribosomal RNA". It matches the Rfam family "Bacterial large subunit ribosomal RNA". Lineage: Bacteria; Pseudomonadati; Pseudomonadota; Gammaproteobacteria; Enterobacterales; Enterobacteriaceae. The record is from RNAcentral.
GGUUAAGCGACUAAGCGUACACGGUGGAUGCCCUGGCAGUCAGAGGCGAUGAAGGACGUGCUAAUCUGCGAUAAGCGUCGGUAAGGUGAUAUGAACCGUUAUAACCGGCGAUUUCCGAAUGGGGAAACCCAGUGUGAUUCGUCACACUAUCAUUAACUGAAUCCAUAGGUUAAUGAGGCGAACCGGGGGAACUGAAACAUCUAAGUACCCCGAGGAAAAGAAAUCAACCGAGAUUCCCCCAGUAGCGGCGAGCGAACGGGGAGCAGCCCAGAGCCUGAAUCAGUGUGUGUGUUAGUGGAAGCGUCUGGAAAGGCGCGCGAUACAGGGUGACAGCCCCGUACACAAAAAUGCACAUGCUGUGAGCUCGAUGAGUAGGGCGGGACACGUGGUAUCCUGUCUGAAUAUGGGGGGACCAUCCUCCAAGGCUAAAUACUCCUGACUGACCGAUAGUGAACCAGUACCGUGAGGGAAAGGCGAAAAGAACCCCGGCGAGGGGAGUGAAAAAGAACCUGAAACCGUGUACGUACAAGCAGUGGGAGCACGCUUAGGCGUGUGACUGCGUACCUUUUGUAUAAUGGGUCAGCGACUUAUAUUCUGUAGCAAGGUUAACCGAAUAGGGGAGCCGAAGGGAAACCGAGUCUUAACUGGGCGUUAAGUUGCAGGGUAUAGACCCGAAACCCGGUGAUCUAGCCAUGGGCAGGUUGAAGGUUGGGUAACACUAACUGGAGGACCGAACCGACUAAUGUUGAAAAAUUAGCGGAUGACUUGUGGCUGGGGGUGAAAGGCCAAUCAAACCGGGAGAUAGCUGGUUCUCCCCGAAAGCUAUUUAGGUAGCGCCUCGUGAAUUCAUCUCCGGGGGUAGAGCACUGUUUCGGCAAGGGGGUCAUCCCGACUUACCAACCCGAUGCAAACUGCGAAUACCGGAGAAUGUUAUCACGGGAGACACACGGCGGGUGCUAACGUCCGUCGUGAAGAGGGAAACAACCCAGACCGCCAGCUAAGGUCCCAAAGUCAUGGUUAAGUGGGAAACGAUGUGGGAAGGCCCAGACAGCCAGGAUGUUGGCUUAGAAGCAGCCAUCAUUUAAAGAAAGCGUAAUAGCUCACUGGUCGAGUCGGCCUGCGCGGAAGAUGUAACGGGGCUAAACCAUGCACCGAAGCUGCGGCAGCGACGCUGAUGCGUUGUUGGGUAGGGGAGCGUUCUGUAAGCCUGCGAAGGUGUGCUGUGAGGCAUGCUGGAGGUAUCAGAAGUGCGAAUGCUGACAUAAGUAACGAUAAAGCGGGUGAAAAGCCCGCUCGCCGGAAGACCAAGGGUUCCUGUCCAACGUUAAUCGGGGCAGGGUGAGUCGACCCCUAAGGCGAGGCCGAAAGGCGUAGUCGAUGGGAAACAGGUUAAUAUUCCUGUACUUGGUGUUACUGCGAAGGGGGGACGGAGAAGGCUAUGUUGGCCGGGCGACGGUUGUCCCGGUUUAAGCGUGUAGGCUGGUUUUCCAGGCAAAUCCGGAAAAUCAAGGCUGAGGCGUGAUGACGAGGCACUACGGUGCUGAAGCAACAAAUGCCCUGCUUCCAGGAAAAGCCUCUAAGCAUCAGGUAACAUCAAAUCGUACCCCAAACCGACACAGGUGGUCAGGUAGAGAAUACCAAGGCGCUUGAGAGAACUCGGGUGAAGGAACUAGGCAAAAUGGUGCCGUAACUUCGGGAGAAGGCACGCUGAUAUGUAGGUGAAGUCCCUCGCGGAUGGAGCUGAAAUCAGUCGAAGAUACCAGCUGGCUGCAACUGUUUAUUAAAAACACAGCACUGUGCAAACACGAAAGUGGACGUAUACGGUGUGACGCCUGCCCGGUGCCGGAAGGUUAAUUGAUGGGGUUAGCCGCAAGGCGAAGCUCUUGAUCGAAGCCCCGGUAAACGGCGGCCGUAACUAUAACGGUCCUAAGGUAGCGAAAUUCCUUGUCGGGUAAGUUCCGACCUGCACGAAUGGCGUAAUGAUGGCCAGGCUGUCUCCACCCGAGACUCAGUGAAAUUGAACUCGCUGUGAAGAUGCAGUGUACCCGCGGCAAGACGGAAAGACCCCGUGAACCUUUACUAUAGCUUGACACUGAACAUUGAGCCUUGAUGUGUAGGAUAGGUGGGAGGCUUAGAAGUGUGGACGCCAGUCUGCAUGGAGCCGACCUUGAAAUACCACCCUUUAAUGUUUGAUGUUCUAACGUUGACCCGUAAUCCGGGUUGCGGACAGUGUCUGGUGGGUAGUUUGACUGGGGCGGUCUCCUCCUAAAGAGUAACGGAGGAGCACGAAGGUUGGCUAAUCCUGGUCGGACAUCAGGAGGUUAGUGCAAUGGCAUAAGCCAGCUUGACUGCGAGCGUGACGGCGCGAGCAGGUGCGAAAGCAGGUCAUAGUGAUCCGGUGGUUCUGAAUGGAAGGGCCAUCGCUCAACGGAUAAAAGGUACUCCGGGGAUAACAGGCUGAUACCGCCCAAGAGUUCAUAUCGACGGCGGUGUUUGGCACCUCGAUGUCGGCUCAUCACAUCCUGGGGCUGAAGUAGGUCCCAAGGGUAUGGCUGUUCGCCAUUUAAAGUGGUACGCGAGCUGGGUUUAGAACGUCGUGAGACAGUUCGGUCCCUAUCUGCCGUGGGCGCUGGAGAACUGAGGGGGGCUGCUCCUAGUACGAGAGGACCGGAGUGGACGCAUCACUGGUGUUCGGGUUGUCAUGCCAAUGGCACUGCCCGGUAGCUAAAUGCGGAAGAGAUAAGUGCUGAAAGCAUCUAAGCACGAAACUUGCCCCGAGAUGAGUUCUCCCUGACCCUUUAAGGGUCCUGAAGGAACGUUGAAGACGACGACGUUGAUAGGCCGGGUGUGUAAGCGCAGCGAUGCGUUGAGCUAACCGGUACUAAUGAACCGUGAGGCUUAACCUU